Molecule: RNA transcript, 2277 nt
Organism: Nymphaea colorata (pocket water lily)
Lineage: Eukaryota; Viridiplantae; Streptophyta; Magnoliopsida; Nymphaeales; Nymphaeaceae
Exons: 2
Source: RefSeq, a predicted model, not a curated record
GCUACGAAGUGAAUUUUAGUACGCGGCUCCAUUUGUAUCAUGUAGCAAUGGAAAGGAGUUGCAGGAGUAGGCUCCGAGGUGAGAGUAGCAGCAAAGGCGUUGGAUGCCCGAAGAAAGCAGAAAUGACCGGACCAGAGGAAACCGCGUCGGUCCACAAGAAGCUCCACGCCGGCGCACCUCUUGUCGGCUCCUGCCACGUGAGCCUCAUUCUCUUCUCGCUCCUCCCUGUGCUGUGCUGUGCUUUACUCUCUCUCUCUUGAGAUCGUCCGUUUCGUAUAAAACCGAGUUCCUGCGUUCACUCUGCUAGACAUCUUUUCAGGGAAAGGCAGAAGCAGGAUUCUCAUCUCCAGCUUAGUUUCACACUGCAUCCUUUAUUGGGGUACAAGUAGAAGUUGAAGGCACCCAUCCUUUCGUCUUCGAAUCAUUUUUGUUCUUCUUUCUUUGAGAUCCGAGGCUGAGAAGAUUGAAACAGAUUCUCAACCUAAGAUGGGUGUUGUGCGCUUCUUCCAUUUCAUAUUCUUCUUUGCCCUCCUCUUGCUGCCUUCAGAGUCCAGUGCUCAGACCAUACGUGGUAGCACAAAUGGGGUUGUUGUGAUGGGCGGUCGUCGGAUCUUGGGCUUCGAAGAAGUUCCUGAUUCGGAGGGUAAGCAGGACGAAGCCGAAGCGUCAGAUUCGAUCUCUCUUCCAGUGAAGAAGAAGAAGCAGGACAAAGAGGUGUCUGAUUCUAGCUCUGUGUUGGAGAAGAAGAAGAAGAAGGAGAAAGAAGCACCUGAUUCUAGCUUCCUUUUGGAGAAGAAGGCGCCCAAAGAGGCCCUUGGUUCUGGCUCUGUUUUAAAGAAGAAGACCAAGGAGGCGCUUGAUUCUGACUCUGUUUCGGAGAAGAAGGUGAAGCUAGAGCAGCCCAUCAUCAAACAAGUGGUGAAAGUGAAGAAACCCACAAAUGGUUCCACUACCACAUCAGCUGCAGCAACGCUCCUGAAGAAGAAGACUCCUUUGAACCACACGAAUGCUCAGUCGAAACCGGUGCCUCCUACCGGCCUGAAACCCAUCAAGAAGCAAGCAGAUCUACUGAAAACAGUGGAGUCCAAGAACAAGACGAAAGUAGAAAAGAAAACUCUCGGCGCUGCAUCUGACGCCGGCGACUUCCAAAUAAUAAAGAAGAAGCCUGACGCCUCCAUCUCCACCUCAACUUCCUCUGCAACUCCCACCAAGAAAAAAGCCCCAGCCACACCGGAGAAGAAGAAGGACCCAAAGGAGAAAGAGACGCAGAUUAAGCUGAAGAAGACGAAGGAAGUGUAUAGCGAUGACGAGGACGAUCUGAUACAGGAUUUCCGGGGCCUCCCCUACAAAUUGCAGGAGACUUUCAUCCCGGACCUCGAGAGGAUCUCCACGACCUCCAAGGCCUAUCUAAACAGAGCCAACCGUGAAAUGGUGGAGGGGUUUAAGCCGCUGGUAGGCCACAGAUACGCUCCAGUCGUCGCCACCGUGACUUCCUAUAUCUUCCUCCUCCUCCCACUCCUUCUGGUGUCGCUUCUCUUCCACCAGAUCCGCGAGUACCUCUCCCUUCAGAGGCUGCUCUUCUUCAUUCAUGGCUACCUCGGCGCCUACUUCACCGUCCUCACCCUGACCUUCGCCUUCACUAGAGUUGAACCGCUUCGCUUCUUCUACCAAUAUUCGAUGACGAGCUACAUAAACAUGCAGGUGAUGCAGACUCUGUUCUAUGUGAUGUAUCUGCUGAUGCUGGUACUGUACAUGGUGGUUCAGUUCUCCACUGCCACAGGGCUGUGGGUUCGGGUCUCGGCGCUGGUGCAGACGAUGGUAGGGGCGGUGGUCGGUCUCCAUUACUACUCGGCCGUCUUCCACAACGCCCUCGCUCACAAGCCACCCAGGGCGAGCUGGAGGAGCCACGCCGUCUACGCCUUCUGCUUCCUUAUGCUCAGUCUUCUGGCGAAGCGGGUGAUUGACAGGAGCAAGAAGGCAUACCACCAUGAAUCAGGAGAAGGGGACAAGCAAAAUUGAUGCCCCUGGCUACCUGCAGCAGCAGCACCACCACCGCCAUCUACUCUGUUUUUUUUGCCUUAAUUGAUUUUUAUUUAUUUUUCUCUGCAACCAUGGCUAUAGAGAUCGAUGGUUGAUUGAAGCUGAAAAGAGGUGCAGAUUUAUAAAGAACAGAAGAGAGAGAAUGGUUAUCAGGGAAAGCUAUUUAAUGUACUUUGCAAGGAAAGUUGGUGAGAAAGAAAAAAAUGAAGAAGAAAACCAAUGUUUGUUGCUCUGUUA